RNAcentral lists this ribosomal RNA (460 nucleotides) under uncultured bacterium. RNAcentral describes it as "partial 16S ribosomal RNA". It matches the Rfam family "Bacterial small subunit ribosomal RNA", at positions 338 to 795 of the family's 1533-position model. The record is from RNAcentral.
CCUACGGGAGACAGCAGUGAGGAAUAUUGGUCAAUGGACGCAAGUCUGAACCAGCCAUGCCGCGUGCAGGAAGACGGCUCUAUGAGUUGUAAACUGCUUUUGUACGAGGGUAAACGCAGAUACGCGUAUCUGUCUGAAAGUAUCGUACGAAUAAGGAUCGGCUAACUCCGUGCCAGCAGCCGCGGUAAUACGGAGGAUUCAAGCGUUAUCAGGAUUUAUUGGGUUUAAAGGGUGCGUAGGCGGUCGGAUAAGUUAGAGGUGAAAUCCCGAGGCUCAACUUCGGAAUUGCCUCUGAUACUGUUCGGCUAGAGAGUAGUUGCGGUAGGCGGAAUGUAUGGUGUAGCGGGGAAAUGCUUAGAGAUCAUACAGAACACCGAUUGCGAAGGCAGCUUACCAAGCUACUUCUGACGUUGAGGCACGAAAGCGUGGGGAGCAAACAGGAUUAGAUACCCGGGUAGUC